Molecule: long non-coding RNA, 2062 nt
Filed under: Malus domestica (apple)
Lineage: Eukaryota; Viridiplantae; Streptophyta; Magnoliopsida; Rosales; Rosaceae
Description: long non-coding RNA (MDOM_LNC011529)
Source: RNAcentral
AGAGAAAAUGUAUACAAAUGAACUUAAGGAAAUGAUUGCUAUACAAUCCCUUAUAUAGCCAUAUUUCCCAAUUACAAUAAUACCCUUCUAACUAUAUUUCUGUUAUAUCAGUUAUUACUCCCCCCUCAAACUAAACUUGGAGUAUCCAAGUGAAGUUUGAACUAGCCAGGUAUUUGAGACUGAUCUGGAAUUGCGAGAGCAAAAUAUCUGCCAUGCUUCAAGAAUUAAGCUACUGCAAACAAGAAAGCACCCACUGACACUGUUGUAACUACUGACCAAACCGAUGCUCACCCCAUUAUCAUUACACAAGACUACAACUUUUGCCGUUGGUGAAGCCAUGAUGAAAGCCAUAAGUACAAUCCAGCUUUAUCUUUAACAUACCCAACAAAUUUUCGACAAUGAACUGAGAAGCCAUACUAACACACUCAUUGUAUAUGCAAAUUAUCCAACCUAAAUCUUUAUAGCUUUACAGAGACUGGCACCAAAUCAACCAAGGAGAAUAACACUCCAAGAAACCAAAUCUACCAAGGAGAAUGACACUCCAAGAAACCAAAUCUACCAAGGAGAAUGACACUCUAAGAAACCAAAUCUACCAAGGAGAAUGACACUCCAAGAAACCAAAUCAACCAAGGAGAAUGACACUCCAAGAAACCCAAACUAACUAAGGAGAAUGACACUCCAAUAAACCAAAUCAACCAAGGAGAAUGACACUCCAAGAAACCAAAUCCAAAACAUAUAAUCCAAAUCAACAAUGGCAAGAAACACAAAGCAUCAUACAGUGAGAGAACUCGAACCCCCAAAUGGGUUUGGAGAGAUCAAGUUCAAGAAUCUAAUCAACGUCACAAUUCAGCAACAUAAUGCAGGAAAAGUAGAAAACCCAUCAAAAAAUCUCAACGCAGAAUAGCUUAAAAUGUCAACAGUCUCACCGGCAGUCACCAAACAGUUCGAUCUCGACCCAGAUGAACAGACCCUGCAAUGGAAAUGCAGAUGGGCGACAAAAACCCUAAGCAGAUUGGUAGGUCGCAGAGCAGAAGAGCAUAAGAAAGAACCAAAUUUCCAGAUCACUGAUCUCCUUGAGGCAUUUAGUUUCAUUCAGACAUUUUCACAAACACCAUAUAUGCAUAAAGAAUAUGACAGAUACAAGAAACAACCUGACAAAGUCCAAUAUCCCAUUGUCCAAUCAGCAACACAUAAGAGAAAUUCCGAACAGAACCCAAACGUCGGCUUAUCCUGGAGCUGGAUAAAGUUUAGCAAAAUCGCAAAGGAAGCAACAAAAUUCGAACAAUCGAUAGAAAGAAGAAGAAGAUGGGGACGUCACUAUGCCCAUUCGUGAAGGCCGGUCUGCCAUCAGAGCCAAGCAAGAAAGAGGUCCCACCCUGCUAAGCAGCAACAGCCAACCGCGCUGGGAGCUCUCUUCAAGGAAAAGUCUCAAUCUGCCAACGAUGUUUGGAGGAAACUCCUCUCUGAUCCUUUGCUUAUGAUUGGGGGUAUGGAUUUUAUUGACAACUAAUAUACCCUCUGAUGUCAACUAAUCCAUAUGAUUAUUUUCACCCAACAACUUUGCAGUAUUUACCUAGAUGAGCAACACGCAUACUCAUAUCUCAUCAGCAAGAGAACAUGAAGAAGAAGCAGUGAAUCAACGGUGCAAAGAAAUCAAACUCUGCUCUCAGUCGCAGAAACCUGAACCAGAGUGGACCCGAGCCAUUGAAGACCUUGAUGAAAAUAUGAAAAAUUCCCAAUUCAAGAACCAAAAAUCUCGAACCAUGACUGCCAAGGUUCUCUCGCAGCCUAACAGCGUCGUUGCAAACGGCGAACAGAACGGAGCACAGAAAGUCAACACAAGAACAAUCGCUGAAUCUAAUGGAAAUUUGAAGAGAAACUAAACUAGGAAGAAAAAAAAAAAGUAAACUACUACGAAGAUAAACCACCAGAAUCUAUGGCGUGAGCCUGAUGGCUUUGAUACCAUAUUAACUACAUUGCAAAAGAUAAAGAUUGGUACAGAGGAAGAGAAAGAAUUGAUAGAGAGCAACAAAAGAGAUUGUAUUGAUUGAUUAGAGAAAAU